CGAAAGCCUGACGGAGCAACGCCGCGUGUGGGAAGAAGGCCCUUGGGUUGUAAACCCCUUUUCUCAGGGAAGAAACCUGACGGUACCUGAGGAAAAAGCCUCGGCUAACUCCGUGCCAGCAGCCGCGGUAAUACGGAGGAGGCAAGCGUUAUCCGGAAUUACUGGGCGUAAAGCGUCCGUAGGGGGCUCGUCAAGUCUGCUGUCAAAGCUCGGAGCUCAACUCCGACCCGGCAGUGGAAACUGGGGAGCUAGAGGGCGGCAGGGGCAGAAGGAAUUCCCGGUGUAGCGGUGAAAUGCGUAGAGAUUGGGAAGAACACCGGUGGCGAAAGCGCUCUACUGGGUCGCACCUGACCCUCAGGGACGAAAGCUAAGGUAGCG
RNAcentral lists this ribosomal RNA (378 nucleotides) under uncultured cyanobacterium. RNAcentral's name for it is "bacterial SSU rRNA". It matches the Rfam family "Bacterial small subunit ribosomal RNA", at positions 376 to 770 of the family's 1533-position model. The record is from RNAcentral. Lineage: Bacteria; Bacillati; Cyanobacteriota.